UACAGAGGGGGCAAGCGUUGUUCGGAAUUACUGGGCGUAAAGGGCGCGUAGGCGGCCUGUUAAGUCGAACGUGAAAUCCCCGGGCUCAACCCGGGAACUGCGUCCGAAACUGGCAGGCUCGAAUUCGGGAGAGGGAUGCGGAAUUCCAGGUGUAGCGGUGAAAUGCGUAGAUAUCUGGAGGAACAUCGGUGGCUAAGGCGGCAUCCUGGACCGAUAUUGACGCUGAGGCGCGAAAGCGUGGGGAGCAAACAGG
Molecule: ribosomal RNA, 253 nt
Filed under: uncultured bacterium
Lineage: Bacteria
Description: partial 16S ribosomal RNA
Rfam family: Bacterial small subunit ribosomal RNA
Source: RNAcentral